This 236-nucleotide ribosomal RNA is filed under the name uncultured bacterium. RNAcentral's name for it is "partial 16S ribosomal RNA". It matches the Rfam family "Bacterial small subunit ribosomal RNA", at positions 15 to 253 of the family's 1533-position model. The record is from RNAcentral.
GAUCCUGGCUCAGGAUGAACGCUGGCGGCGUGCCUAAUACAUGCAAGUCGAACGCGAGCACUUGUGCUCGAGUGGCGAACGGGUGAGUAAUACAUAAGUAACCUGCCCUAGACAGGGGGAUAACUAUUGGAAACGAUAGCUAAGGCCGCAUAGGUACGGACACUGCAUGGUGACCGUAUUAAAAGUGCCUCAAAGCACUGGUAGAGGAUGGACUUAUGGCGCAUUAGCUGGUUGGG